AGGGGGCAGGUAGGGAGGGAUGCAGGGGGCAGGUUAGGAGGGAUGCAGAGGGCAGGUUAGGAGGGAUGCAGGAGGCCGGUUAGGAGGAAUGCAGGGGGCCGGUUAGGAGGAAUGCAGGGGGCAGGUUAGGAGGGCUGCAGAGGGCAGGUUCGGAAGACUGUAGAAGGCAGGUUAGGAGGGAUGCAGGAGGCCGGUUAGGAGGAAUGCAGGGGGCAGGUUAGGAGGGAUGCAGGGGGCAGGUUAGGAGGGAUGCAGGGGGCAGGUUAAGAGGGAUGCAGGGAGCAGGUUAGGAGGGAUGCAGGAGGCUGGUUCGGAGGACUGCAGGAGGCCAGUUAGGAAUACUGGCCCUGCUUAGGAGGACUACAGAGGGCUGGUUAGGAGGGCUGCAGGGUUCGUGACACUCAGAUGACACUAGCAGGGGGCAGGUCAGAAUUAUGAAAUCAUCUCAGAUGAGCUAUCAUUAUCAGACUCCUGACAUAACUCAGACCGUAAUGAAACUCUCAACCAUAUUCAUAUUCUAGAGACUAUUAAAUAGCUUAUGGUUUCAUUCUAGCACAUAGACGCCCCCCCCCCCCCCCACUUACACUCCCACAUACAUAUUUCUAGAAAAACGUUGUUGAUGAUGUCAUUGAGAUGUUCCCUUGGGGAGUGCAGUGUCUUUCUAAACACACUUUAGUGCCAGUUGAUAGAUGUAUUUCUGGCUACGUGGGAAGUUGUGUUUCUGUAUGCUCCAAGACUCACCACAUGGAUCUGACUGGUUGGCAACAGCAAUAAAGUGAUGGAUAGAAUGCAAAUAUAUGUACAUACGGAACUGAAUUCUCAUCAGUGGAGAGAGAAUGCUGUGUUCGGUAACAGUCUGCAGGAGGAACAAGGGUCUCUUCGGCAGAACACUCUGGUUUCUAAGCUCUUGAGUACUGUUUAGAAAGAACUUGCACACGAGAGAGAGAGAGAGAGAGAGAGAGAGAGAGAGAGAGAGAGAAUCAUUUUUCAGAUGUGCUCUGGCCCUGACAUGACAUAUGACUCAACAGCGUAAACUGCAGUUGACUCUAGUUCUGUACUGUAAUCCUACUGCUGUUGGCUUCAUAAACAGUGUUGUAGAUCAUUCAGUACAUUUACUUUUCCCAUUUGCUUUAGAGAUCCCUUCUAAACAGUCUAUUAGACUCAGGUUUUAUAUACGAUAUGUCUCUCUGCCUUCUCUUCCUGGGAUCAAAGAUGCUGAAUCCACACAUGACAUAUUUCCAUACUUACUUUCAUUUGAUUUAUAUAACGCAUUUCAGAACUGUGUCUUAUUUAUUUUUUACCAUCAAAGACUCUGUUUUUGUGCGGUUCACUGUGAACACCUGGUGUCGAGGCAACAGUCACUGUGUCACACCCGCAAGUAGCAUUACUGUGUAACAGUCAGUGAAGUAUCGUUGCUUUUCCUUCCAAAAUAAAUUAGUAUUUUAAAUUAUUUGUAUUCUCUCUAAAAAAAUGUCCCUGUUUGCUAUAUUUUUGUAUGUUGUUGUUUUAACACCACUGGGCUUCUACAGCUGUCUAUUUGCAUUGUGUGGGUUGAGCUGUACAAGGUCACGUUUAUAGUGGUGUUGCCCUGUCAUGUUGACACUUGGUCUGUUCUCUCUAUGAUGCUGUGCUGCGAUGUGUUUCCAUGGUGCGUAACCAGGGUGAUGGUGUUAGCUGAUGAUCUCUGACUGUAACCUGUGCGUCCCGAACUCCUGUCUCAACGAAAGGAGGCUAUGCAGUAUGUCUGAACAUCACAGAGGGGUUCAGUGGGAAAGAAAGCUUGUCACAAUUUUAAUUAUUUUUAUAUCAGGUUUACAUUUGAAGCAAGGAGGCCAGAUAAGUUUGCUUUGGUCAAGAUAGACACGUGUACACAAACACACGCACACUAAUGAUGUCACAGCUCAUCCACAUUUGGAGAAGGAGAUUCCUAUACAUUGUAGAAUAUGAGUGAGUAGAGGAACAACUGUGCCAAUACUUAGUCUGUCGCUGAUCCUAAACCAAUCAAGAGAUAUCUGAAUCAAGAAGAAUAGGCCACUCCCACACUGAUCUGGUGUGUGGCAACAUUCAUGUUCUAACUGACAAUCAGCAGGAAGUGUUUUAUUCCUAUAAUAUGAGGUGAGGUGAUCAGCAGGAAGUGUUUUAUUCCUAUAAUAUGAGGUGAGGUGAUCAGCAGGAAGUGUUUUAUUCCUAUAAUAUGAGGUGAGGUGAUCAGCAGGAAGUGUUUUAUUCCUAUAAUAUGAGGUGAGGUGAUCAGCAGGAAGUGUUUUAUUCCUAUAAUAUGAGGUGAGGUGAUCAGCAGGAAGUGUUUUAUUCCUAUAAUAUGAGGUGAGGUGAUUAUCAGCCCAAACAAUGAGUCUGAGUAGUGAUUGUCAAAAAAACAAUUGGUUCCAAAAAUAUUUGAAUUGGGCUGCAUGUGUAAAUGCAGCCCUAGAGACCGGAUGAGGAGACACGUUUAUUAGCGGACAAUGUGCAGAGGAGAGCUUCAGGCAUUUUGACAGAGCUCCGGUCUGACAGAGAGAUGCCUGGAUGGAUUCCUGUAAUUGUGUUUUGAUUAUGUUCACCGGUCCAGUAAGACAUUGUUACAGUAAUGUGGUACAGGUAGGGUACCCAGGCUGAGUUGUGACUCUAGUACAGUAAGACAUUGUUACAGUAAUGUGGUACAGGUACAGUACCCAGGCUGAGUUGUGACUCUAGUACAGUAAGACAUUGUUACAGUAAUGUGGUACAGGUACAGUACCCAGGCUGAGUUGUGACUCUAGUACAGUAGUUCAGUGCCUAUAAAUGUGAGGUAGUGCCUCGACCAUGAAUUCUUUAAUAAACUAUUUUGACGUGCUGUCUGA
This is a long non-coding RNA of Oncorhynchus kisutch (coho salmon), 2840 nucleotides long. RefSeq lists it as uncharacterized. Lineage: Eukaryota; Metazoa; Chordata; Actinopteri; Salmoniformes; Salmonidae. The record is from RefSeq and is a predicted model, not a curated record. The transcript is spliced from 2 exons.